This 663-nucleotide ribosomal RNA is filed under the name uncultured bacterium. RNAcentral describes it as "bacterial SSU rRNA". It matches the Rfam family "Bacterial small subunit ribosomal RNA", at positions 55 to 764 of the family's 1533-position model. The record is from RNAcentral.
AUGCAAGUCGAACGGUGGCUUCGGCCAUAGUGGCGCACGGGUGAGUAACGCGUGGGAAACUGCCCAUCAGUGGGGAAUAACAGAGGGAAACUUCUGCUAAUACCGCAUACGCCCUUCGGGGGAAAGAUUUAUCGCUGAUGGAUGUGCCCGCGUCCGAUUAGGUAGUUGGUGGGGUAAAGGCCUACCAAGCCUACGAUCGGUAGCUGGUCUGAGAGGAUGAUCAGCCACACUGGGACUGAGACACGGCCCAGACUCCUACGGGAGGCAGCAGUGGGGAAUAUUGGACAAUGGGCGAAAGCCUGAUCCAGCAAUGCCGCGUGAAUGAUGAAGGCCUUAGGGUUGUAAAGUUCUUUCGGGUGGGACGAUGAUGACGGUACCACCAGAAGAAGCCCCGGCUAACUUCGUGCCAGCAGCCGCGGUAAUACGAAGGGGGCUAGCGUUGUUCGGAAUUACUGGGCGUAAAGCGCACGCAGGCGGCUCGUUAAAUUAGAAGUGAAAGCCCUGGGCUCAACCCGGGAAUUGCUUUUAAGACUGGCGAGCUUGAAUCCAGAAGAGGGUAGUGGAAUUCCAAGUGUAGAGGUGAAAUUCGUAGAUAUUUGGAAGAACACCAGUGGCGAAGGCGACUACCUGGUCUGGCAUUGACGCUCGUGUGCGAAAGCGUGG